Molecule: transfer RNA, 96 nt
Filed under: Actinoallomurus iriomotensis
Lineage: Bacteria; Bacillati; Actinomycetota; Actinomycetes; Streptosporangiales; Thermomonosporaceae
Description: tRNA-Val
Source: RNAcentral
CACCCGGCCACCGUGGCGACGGCCCCGUCGUCGACGGUGACCGGGGUCCGGUGCGGGCCGCCGCGCCGGCGGCGUACGACGCGCCGCCAGGAGGCC